This 480-nucleotide ribosomal RNA is filed under the name uncultured bacterium. Its description in RNAcentral is "partial 16S ribosomal RNA". It matches the Rfam family "Bacterial small subunit ribosomal RNA", at positions 355 to 852 of the family's 1533-position model. The record is from RNAcentral.
UGGGGAAUAUUGGACAAUGGGGGCAACCCUGAUCCAGCAAUGCCGCGUGUGUGAAGAAGGUCUUCGGAUUGUAAAGCACUUUCGACGGGGACGAUGAUGACGGUACCCGUAGAAGAAGCCCCGGCUAACUUCGUGCCAGCAGCCGCGGUAAUACGAAGGGGGCUAGCGUUGCUCGGAAUGACUGGGCGUAAAGGGCGUGUAGGCGGUUUACACAGUCAGAUGUGAAAUCCCCGGGCUUAACCUGGGAGCUGCAUUUGAUACGUGUAGACUAGAGUGUGAGAGAGGGUUGUGGAAUUCCCAGUGUAGAGGUGAAAUUCGUAGAUAUUGGGAAGAACACCGGUGGCGAAGGCGGCAACCUGGCUCAUGACUGACGCUGAGGCGCGAAAGCGUGGGGAGCAAACAGGAUUAGAUACCCUGGUAGUCCGCNCUGUAAACGAUGUGUGCUAGAUGUUGGGUAACUUUGUUAUUCAGUGUCGCAGU